This 1862-nucleotide long non-coding RNA is filed under the name Homo sapiens (human). RNAcentral describes it as "non-protein coding lnc-ATXN1-3:1". Lineage: Eukaryota; Metazoa; Chordata; Mammalia; Primates; Hominidae. The record is from RNAcentral.
GUGAUAAGGCUGACCAUAAAAGAUACAUCACAAUAUUCAAUUUAACACAAAUGUCUGAAGAUGAUAAAGGUCUCAGCCCAUCCCACAUGGUUUCAUUAGCUAUACCCCAAAGGAAGUUCAUGAAGUUUCAGGGAAGGAAAUGAAACUUAUCAGAGAGAAUGAAAGUAGCCACAAUUAGUCCAGCCCAUGCAAUGUUUAUAACCCUUGACGAAUUCUUGGGAGCUGGCCAGAUGUGCUGCUUAUUUGUGAAGUACGGAAAGGAAACCUAAUUCUGAUCUUUUAAAGAUUAAAUAGAGGUAAAAUAUAAUUACUAGAUGGUAUGAUUAUUUUUAAAUUAUUAUCCUUAAAGGGAAGAGAAACUGACCUUGUUAAGCAUCUGCCAGCGUGGAUGAGGGCUUUAUUCAUUGUUUCAUACAUGGUCUUAAAGGAGAAGCUUCUGUAGGUUGUCCUUGCUCUUUCCCUCUGGUUCUCUUUCUUUCUGGCUAGCCCUCCUUUUAUUAGAAUAGACAGAGAAGUUCAUUUUACACAUUCCAUUCCCUCUCCCUCUGGAACAUUCCUCUAUAACUGCCCUCUUCUCUGACACAAAAUCAUACUCCUGUUAGAGUCAGCCUGAGUCCCUGAUUCUUCUAAAACACAGUGAGAAAAAUCUGACAUAGGAAAAUGACAACAGUGAAAGAAAUCUGACCUAACUGACUCCAUCUUGCUUUUAACCGCCAAGGUGUCCUUGUUCAUUCCUGGGUGUAGGUUGAACUAACUAUGGGAGGAAUUGAGUUUAUAGUUUAACUUUGAAACAAAGAUGAGAACAGCACGUUCCCAAAACAAACCCCCUCCUGGCUUGGGGACCAGCGCACCUUUGUAAAACUAACAAAGUAGCUACAGAUUACAAAUCAUGGCUCAGGCAUCAUGUAGCCAGAGGCCAUAAGAUUCCCAACCUCCCCAGUUGCUCCUAUGAAUAACAUCACUAUUGAAAACCUAAGAUUGGUGUUAGAGAUAUGUUUCAGUCAAAUCAGCAUUCCCCACUCCCUAGUUCCUGCCCACCAAAUUAUCCUUAAAAAAGCCUGGUCUCUGAAUUUUUGGGGAGACUGAUUUGAGCAAUAAAACUCCAGUCUCCUGUUAGCUGGCUCUGCAUUUAUUAAACUCUUUCUGUAUUGCAGUAAUGCUGUCUCAGUAAAUUGGCUCUAUCUAUGCAGCAGGCAAGAAGAACACAUAGGGCAGUUCCACUCCCACACCAACUGAGACUCCUUUCAACAUCCUCUGCUUCUCAUUACUCUAAUACAACAAUAAUAGUUUCCCAUCAGUACAAUGACUUUAUGUUAAAGUUUUCACUGUCUAGACAAAGCCAUAAGUGAUAUCCAGAGUUCAAUUUAUUAACAUUUUAUUAUGGGAGGGGAGGGUUAUCCCCAAAAUUACAUGGGAAGAUAACCUCCAAAAUUAUGUGGGAUAAAUUCCACUUGGUCACAGUGCAUAAUCCUUUUUUGUAUUGAUGGAUCCUAUUUGCUAAUAUUUUGUUAAGGAUUUGUGCAUCUGAGCUUAUAAGGGACAUUACUCUGUAGUUUUCUUUUCUUUUGAUGCCUUUAUCAGGGUAAUAGUGGCCUCAUAGAAUUAGUUGGGAAAUGUUCCACGCUCUGUUUUCUGAAAGAGCUUGUGUAGGCUUGGGAUUAGUUCUUUAAAUAUUUAAUAGAAUUAACCAGUGAACUAAAAUUAUGUGAAGUGAUAAAAUGGUUUAUUUUUAGUAAAUAAGUAUCUCUCAAAACCCAGAAAUAAAGUUAAGUAUUAAAGGCUUUUUGAUAAUUCAGAAUUAUAGUAUUUAAUAUUAAGGGAUAAGAGCAAAUCUGGAGGCAUCACACUACCUGAUUUCAAAC